This 316-nucleotide long non-coding RNA is filed under the name Malus domestica (apple). RNAcentral's name for it is "long non-coding RNA (MDOM_LNC020695)". The record is from RNAcentral. Lineage: Eukaryota; Viridiplantae; Streptophyta; Magnoliopsida; Rosales; Rosaceae.
UUAGAACUUAUUCUUGUAUGUUGAUUGAGAGUGCACACUUAAUUUGCAUGCUUGAAUUUGGUGCUAGGAUAUAAGUUUGUUUCACCUAAUCGUUAUGAAUUUAUAUUCGCAAGUAGUGAAGGUCGCUAGUCACGAUCGUGUUAAGUAGAUUCCUGGCAAGAGUAUCAUGCUUUUCAUAGUUACAAAUGCCUUGUCAAUGCUUAUGAUUUCCAAGGAACGUAAUGAUUCUAACUUGUGUCUUUAUCAUGUUGUUCAUAUAGAGAACUUGUUAGGAAUAAUUUGUUUGCGAUGCAUAUUCAUCCAAUUCAAUGAUUCU